UACUGUUAGCAAUGUUUUUACAAUGAAUUCUUGCCACAUUAGAAUGUUAUACAUACUUUUACGGGCCUCAAUGACAUAGGUAGGCCUUUGAAAUAUUUCUACCGCAGGAGGGGCGAAAAGGGCACUGGCAGGAAUGAGUUUGUUAUGCUGAGUGGUGGUAACUUACUGCACACAUGGCAUAUUGAGAUGGCGAAAAUCUCUAUGAGAGAAAAACAUAAUAAAGAGCUAGUAGUAGGGAGAGAGAGGGAGGCAAUCAUUUUGGUAAUUGUGGGUAUGAUUAUUGUCACAAGGCAGGGAGAGAAUUCUCUGAUUUACCUUAUUUUUUGGUUUUUGUCACCUUGAGUAAUACUAGGACCUACCAAUAUGGUAUCAAAGCUCCCAAUCUUGGGAGCCUUUGGAUGGUGUUGACAUGGAAAGCGUGGAACAAAGGUUGGAAGGGCUGCAAGCCUCCAUCUAGAAAACUUUCCACAAACAGUUAGAAGAAAUGAUGAGGGUGAUGUUGGAAAGAUUUCAGUCAGCGUCAAUGGAAAACCCAUAUGAAGCUUUAAAGGGUCUGAGACAAAAGGUUCAUUCAUGGAGUAUCUGAGUAGUUCAAACUUCUUUCAACUCUCCAAUUUGUAGACGAGGGUUCAUGAAGGUAGCUUUCAUGAAUGGUUUGAAGGACGAGGUCACGAUAGUUAGCUCGGGAGAUCUACUAACUUUGAUGGAGAUGACACAAAAAGUGGAAAAAAGGUAUCACUUACUGGGUCGAUGACAUGAGUUCGUGGGCUAGCUACACAAAAACCAGUUUGGGCCGGAAGAAGAGUUGGGGCCCAAGAUCUCUCGAGGAGAAAUCUCCCACACUCUCAUUCAGGUGAGAGUCGAGGAGAGCCCAACCAAAUAGGGGCAAACUCAGGAGAAAAAAGUGCCACAAACUCAAAUCAAAGAGGAUGGAGCUUCAAAAAAUUGAAAGAGGAGGAAGAUAAUGAUAGGAGAUGAAGGAAUUUGUGUUUCUGGUGUGAAAAGCCUUACACUCAUGGCAACAUGUGUCGCAAUAAGCAACUUCAUGUGAUUUUAUUUGGUGAGAGGGAGAAAGAAGAGAAGGAUAGUUAGGGCGAGGAAGGUAAUGGAGGGGUAGAUGAAUAUGCGUCUACAUGCAAGUAACAUUACGUGGAUGAUUUCAAAAUAUUCCCUAAAGUUAUGGGGAACUAUCACGGGCAAGAAGGUCAUAGUUUUGGUGGACUCCAAUGCCUCAUAAUUUUUUGUCCUCGAGUCUAAUUGUGGAGAUGAAUAUUCCAUUAAAGGAGACCAAGGGUUAUUUUGUGGAGGUUGGGAGUGGCCAGAGGUUAGGAAGCCAGGGAGUUUGUAAAGGGGUGGAGUUUUAAUUGAAGAUAGAGCUAGAUUUCUUUUUAUUUGAGUUGGUAGGGGUGGAUGUAAUUUUGGGAUAUGAAUGGCUAAAAUGUUUAGGCAAGUUUUUGGCAGAUUUUCAACAACACUUAAUAGAGGUGCUAAAGGAUGGUUGAGUAAUUGAAAUUGAGGGUGAUACAACUUUAUCCAGAACUAUGACAUCCUUAAAAGCUGGAAAGGAGUUAAGGAAUGAGGUAGAAGCUUUUUAUGUUGACUGGGGAUGAUGAAUGUGAUUAACAUGGAGUCAUCCCUUAAUUUUAAUAGAAGAGACCCUUGAAAAUUUAAAAGAGCUAUUAUUGGAAUUCAAACAUCUGUUAAAGGAGAGCACCACUUUACCACCCAAGAGAGAAUGUGACCAAGCAAUUGCCUUAAAGGAAGGAGCUCAAAUUCCCAUUAUUCGUCCCUGUAGGCAUCCUCAUAGUCAUAAAAAAGAGAUUGAGAAAUUUGUUCAUGAUAUGUUGGCUUCAGGUUUGCUUCUACCUAGCACUAGUUCUUAUGAUAGUCCAUUAAUUUUGGUUAAGAAAAAAGAUGGUAGCUAAUGCAUUUGUGUGGAUUAUAAGGCUCUGAAUAGGAUCACCUUUCCAAAUAAGUUUCCCAUUCUGGUUACCGAGGAGUUAUUGAAUUGGCUUGGAGGGGAUACCAUUGUUUCCAAGUUGGAUCUCAAGUCUCCAAAUUGGAGGGGAUACCACAUGCUAUCAUUAGAAAUGCAUGUGGAAAGAGGAUAUUCAUAAGACAAAAUUUUGGACACAUGAAGGGCAUUACAAAUACCUACUAAUGCCAUUUGGCCUCACAAAUGCUCCUUCCACAUUCUAAGCUUUCAUGAACAACAUAUUCCGAUCAUAUUUGCGGAGAUUUGUUUUUUUUUUUGACAUUCUCAUGUACUACAAAGAUUUUAAUUCACAUAUUGCCCAUUUCAAGGUGGUUUUUCCGUUGUUACAACGACAUAAAAAGUAAGGCAGCAGAUGCAUUAUUUCACGUAAUGGACUAUGGUGCAAUUUCAAUGGUCAUCAAUGCUGAUUUGGUGGAAAUAAUAAAGAAUUUGUGGUUGAUGAGCUGCUUUGGGGGAUUAUGCUGGAGAUUGUGAGGGAUCCAAAGUCACAUCCUCAUUAUUUAGUUUCUAAAGGUUGUCUUUGGUUCAAAGCACAAGGGAGAAUGAAAGAACAGGCUCACAGGGGUAGGUGGAAUUUCAGGUAAGAGACAUGAUGUACUUGAAAGCCCAGCCCUAUAAAUUAUGGUAACUAGCUAGACACAUUAAUGAAAAACUCAGUCCUAAGUUCUAUGGGCCAUUCAAGGUCUUUUGGACAGAAUUGGGAAAGUGGAAAUUACAACUGCCAGACAACUCAAGAUUGCACGCGGUGUUCCAUGUUUCACAGUUAAAGAAGGCUUUACCAUCCUACCAACUGAGUCAAGAACUUCCCAAGUUCCUCUCAAAUGAGUUUGAAUUGAUGGUGGAACCAGAGCAAGUGUUGGCUACAAGGAAACUGCUGAAUGGGAAGUGGCAAGUACUGAUAAAAUGGACUGACUUGCCCACAUAAGAUAGCUCCUGGGAAGAUUAUGAGGUUAUUCAGGCUGUUUUUCCCCUAUUCCACCUUGCAGACAAGAUGUCGCUUGUUGGGGAGGGUAUUGAUGGGCCUCAACGGCACAGGUCUUUGAAUUAUUUCUACCACAGGAGUAGCAAAAAGGACACUGGCAGGAAUGAGUCUAUUAUGCUGAGUGGUAGUAACUAACUGCACAUGUGGUAGAUUGAGAUAGCAGAAAUCUGUGGGAGAAAAAAGAGAACAAAGAGCUAGGGGGGGGGAGAGAGAGAGGGAGGCAAUCAUUUUGGUAAUUGUGGGGUGAUUAUUGUGACAGACAGAGCAGGGGAGAAUUCUCUGAUUUACUAUUUUUCUGGUUUUUGUCACCUUGAGUAAUACCAAGAUCUAUCAUACUUCUUACACAUUUAUAAUUGAUUGGAAACACCAGUACAAAAUCUUUGUUCAAAAUCACCCUAUUAUGGUUUGAUUAUGACUUGGACCAGGGUUUUAAAUAGCAUGCAAUAUUGGGGUAACAGUAUAAGAACCUCUAUUCACUACAGGGGAGGCUGAAAAAUGGAUAUUUUACAAUCCUUACUGUCCAUCUUGAAGGGUCAUCUUUGGGAUUUUAAUUUCCAAAAUUGAAAUCCAUAGAUGUAAUAAUAGUGAAAAGAUAAAGAAGACUUGGCUUUAGAAGAUGAUGACUGAUGAUUCCAAUCUAGGAAACUUGUAUUUGAUUUCUGU
RNAcentral lists this long non-coding RNA (3641 nucleotides) under Phaseolus vulgaris (common bean). Its description in RNAcentral is "long non-coding RNA (PVUL_LNC001231)". Lineage: Eukaryota; Viridiplantae; Streptophyta; Magnoliopsida; Fabales; Fabaceae. The record is from RNAcentral.